CACGUAGGGUGCGAGCGUUGUCCGGAAUUAUUGGGCGUAAAGAGCUCGUAGGCGGUGUGUCGCGUCGGCCGUGAAAACCUGCAGCUUAACUGUGGGCUUGCGGUCGAUACGGGCAUCACUGGAGUUCGGCAGGGGAGACUGGAAUUCCUGGUGUAGCGGUGAAAUGCGCAGAUAUCUGGAGGAACACCGGUGGCGAAGGCGGCAUCCUGGACCGGUAUUGACGCUGAGGCGCGAAAGCUAGGGGAGCAAACGGG
Molecule: ribosomal RNA, 254 nt
Filed under: uncultured bacterium
Lineage: Bacteria
Description: partial 16S ribosomal RNA
Rfam family: Bacterial small subunit ribosomal RNA
Source: RNAcentral